GAUUUCUGGUAUGGCGCACUUGGCCCGCCUCGGUUUACGGGGUUGUGUGCCGGUGUGUGCCUGCCAUCCUUCCAGUAAUUCAUAUUCCUUCCCUUUAUUGGGCUUGGAGUAUGGGUCUGGAUCAUUUACUUUGAAAAAAUUAGAGUGUUUCAAGCAGGCUUUAUGCUAUGAAUACAUUAGCAUGGAAUAAUAAUUUAGGACUUCGGUUCUAUUUUGUUGGUUUCUAGGACUGAAGUAAUGAUUGAUAGGGAUAGUUGGGGGUGCUAGUAUUCAGCGGCCAGAGGUGAAAUUCUCGGAUUCGCUGAAGACUAACUUAUGCGAAAGCAUU
RNAcentral lists this ribosomal RNA (328 nucleotides) under Cercomonas sp. Its description in RNAcentral is "SSU rRNA". The stretch from base 54 to 328 matches the Rfam family "Eukaryotic small subunit ribosomal RNA", at positions 680 to 955 of the family's 1831-position model. Lineage: Eukaryota; Cercozoa; Cercomonadida; Cercomonadidae. The record is from RNAcentral.